RNAcentral lists this ribosomal RNA (939 nucleotides) under Sarcophaga schineri. Its description in RNAcentral is "eukaryotic LSU rRNA". It matches the Rfam family "Eukaryotic large subunit ribosomal RNA", at positions 128 to 895 of the family's 3401-position model. The record is from RNAcentral. Lineage: Eukaryota; Metazoa; Arthropoda; Insecta; Diptera; Sarcophagidae.
UAUGGCAAAUGUGAGAUGCAGUGUAUGGAAUGUCAAAUUUCUAGUAUGAGAAAUUAACGAUUUAAGUCCUUCUUAAAUGAGGCCAUUUACCCAUAGAGGGUGCCAGGCCCGUAUAACGUUAAUGAUUACUAGAUGGCAUUUCCAAAGAGUCGUGUUGCUUGAUAGUGCAGCACUAAGUGGGUGGUAAACUCCAUCUAAAACUAAAUAUAACCAUGAGACCGAUAGUAAACAAGUACCGUGAGGGAAAGUUGAAAAGAACUCUGAAUAGAGAGUUAAAUAGUACGUGAAACUGCUUAGAGGUUAAGCCCGAUGAACCUGAAUAUCCAUUAUAGAAAAUUCAUCAUUAUGAUUUUUAAUAUUAAUAAUAUUAUAAUAAUAGUGUGCAUUUUUUCUAUAACGGACAUUGUAAUCUAUUAACAUAAAUUUAUCAUAAGAUCAAUGAUUGUUUUGUUUAUUCGAAUUAUUUUGCUUGCAAUUUAACAUAGAAUAAAAGGCUGUUGAUUGGAUAAAGUGUUGAUAGAUUUAUUGUAUAUAGUGCUUAAAUAUUUAUAUUUUAUAAUAGCAUAUUAAUCAUUGAUUUUUAUGUUUAUUAUAUGCACUUAUAUGAUUAACAAUGCGAAAGAUUCAGGAUACCUUCGGGACCCGUCUUGAAACACGGACCAAGGAGUCUAACAUAUUUGCAAGUUAUUGGGUAUCAAAACCUAAUAGCGAAAUUAACAUAACUUUAAUGGGAUUAGUUUUUAGAUUAUUUAUAUAGUCUAUUAAUUCAAUCCCGGGGCGUUCUAUAUAGUUAUGUAUAAUAAUAUUUAUAUUAUUUAUACCUCUAACUAGAGCGUACCUUGAGCAUAUAUGCUGUGACCCGAAAGAUGGUGAACUAUACUUGAUCAGGUUGAAGUCAGGGGAAACCCUGAUGGAAGACCGAAACAGUUCUGACGUGCA